Molecule: ribosomal RNA, 890 nt
Filed under: uncultured archaeon
Lineage: Archaea
Description: bacterial SSU rRNA
Rfam family: Archaeal small subunit ribosomal RNA
Source: RNAcentral
UUGCUGCUAUCGGGGUGGGACUAAGACAUGCGAGUCGAGCGUCUCUAGCUAUGUUGAGACGCGGCAGACGGCUCAGUAACACGUGGCUAACCUACCCUCAGGACGAGGAUAAACCCGGGAAACUGGGGCUAAUACUCGAUAGGUGAGAAUGUCUGGAAUGAUUUCUCAUUCAAAGGGCUUUAGAAACAUGCUUCUAAUAUCGCCUGGGGAUGGGGCCGCGUCCGAUCAGGUUGUUGGUGGGGUAACGGCUCACCAAGCCUAUAACCGGUACGGGCCGUGAGAGCGGUAGCCCGGAGAUGGGCACUGAGACAAGGGCCCAGGCCCUACGGGGCGCAGCAGUCGCGAAAACUCCGCAAUGCGCGAAAGUGUGACGGGGCUACCCCGAGUGCCAUCCGCUGAGGAUGGCUUUUCCCCGGUGUAACUAGCCGGGGGAAUAAGGAGAGGGCAAGUCUGGUGUCAGCCGCCGCGGUAAUACCAGCUCUCCGAGUGGUAGGGACGAUUAUUGGGCUUAAAGCGUCCGUAGCCGGCUUAGCAAGUCUCCUGUUAAAUUCAGCGACCUAAUCGUUGAGCCGCGGGAGAUACUACUAGGCUAGGAGGCGGGAGAGGUCGACGGUAUUCCCGGGGGAGGGGUGAAAUCCUAUAAUCCCGGGAGGACCACCAGUGGCGAAGGCUGUGGGCUAGAACGCGCUCGACGGUGAGGGACGAAAGCUGGGGGAGCGAACCGGAUUAGAUACCCGGGUAGUCCCAGCUGUAAACGAUGCGGGCUAGGUGUUGAGGUGGCUACGUGCCACUUCAGUGCCGCAGGGAAGCCAUUAAGCCCGCCGCCUGGGGAGUACGGCCGCAAGGCUGAAACUUAAAGGAAUUGACGGGGGAGCACCACAAGGCGUGAA